UAUGUUUGCUAAUGAGCUCAGCUCAAGUGU
RNAcentral lists this non-coding RNA (30 nucleotides) under Mus musculus (house mouse). The record is from RNAcentral. Lineage: Eukaryota; Metazoa; Chordata; Mammalia; Rodentia; Muridae.